RNAcentral lists this long non-coding RNA (670 nucleotides) under Vulpes vulpes (red fox). RNAcentral's name for it is "lncRNA (ENSVVUG00000010269.1)". Lineage: Eukaryota; Metazoa; Chordata; Mammalia; Carnivora; Canidae. The record is from RNAcentral.
GGGAAAUAUUUUGGCCUCAUUAAUAAAGACUGGUUCGGAUUGCAUUAUGAAAGAAUUCUUGAAUCACUAGUUUAAUUUCAUUUAUUCCCAGGCACAUUUUCCAUGGUCUGCUGAGGAGUAAUCAUACUCCAGAAAGCUUUAAAAAAAGAAGACUAAGAAAUAGAUAGAAGAGGAUUGGGAUGCCACCUCCGUGGAAUCGGCCAUCCUGGAAGAAUGUUCUGGUGCCAGUGACAGCUCGUUCCAAUCACCAGCGGGGGCAACAGCCUCCUCAGGAAAGGUGCCCUUUUGUGUGGAGCGAGGAGGAUACACCCAGGAGAACCGAGCUCUCAGUUCCGAAGGAGUCACCAGGACCCCUUGCUUUUCAAACCAGCCCUCCCAGCAGUGCGAUGUCUCUGGAAAGAUACACAGACACCGAUCCGUAAAUACUCGCAGAAUGCCCAGUAGGAGUGCAGACUGGAAGAUCGGCUGUCUUUUGAACUGGAGACAUCACAGGAAACUGGGGAGGCUCCAAAUUGCUAACCUGAGGCCGGAGCAAAAACUUUUUCUCGUGGAAGGGACUGCUUCUUUUUUUUUUUUUUUCCUCCCCUUCAUCGAAUGGCAUCCCCAGUCCUGCCGGAUUGCAACUGUCUUUGUUCCCUCAGCCAAGCCUUAUAGCUGGCUCACACUCUGC